UGCAAGUCGAACGAGGAUCGUCCGGGUAGCAAUACUCGGGCGGUCCGAGUGGCGUACGGGUGAGUAACACGUGGGCGACCUGCCCUUGAGUUCGGGAUACCCUUCCGAAAGGGAGGCUAAUACCGGAUACGUUCCCUGGGUCGCGAGAUCUGGGGAGGAAAGGUGGCGCAAGCUGCCGCUCUUGGAGGGGCUCGCGGCCUAUCAGCUAGUUGGUGAGGUAACGGCUCACCAAGGCGAUGACGGGUAGCUGGUCUGAGAGGACGACCAGCCACACGGGGACUGAGACACGGCCCCGACUCCUGCGGGAGGCAGCAGUGGGGAAUUUUCCGCAAUGGGCGAAAGCCUGACGGAGUGACGCCGCGUGGGGGACGAAGGCCUUCGGGUCGUAAACCCCUGUCAGAGGGAAAGAAGGGUGUCGGCGUGAACAGCGCCGGCAUCUGACGGUACCUUCAGAGGAAGCCCCGGCCAACUCUGUGCCAGCAGCCGCGGUAAGACAGAGGGGGCAAGCGUUGCUCGGAAUCACUGGGCGUAAAGGGCGCGUAGGCGGGGCGAUAAGUCGGUCGUGAAAUCCCAUGGCUCAACUGUGGGGGGUCGGCCGAAACUGCCGUUCUUGAGGGAUGCAGAGGAGACUGGAAUUCCCGGUGUAGCGGUGAAAUGUGUAGAGAUCGGGAGGAACACCGGUGGCGAAGGCGGGUCUCUGGGCAUCUCCUGACGCUGAGCGCGAAAGCGUGGGGAGCAAACGGGAUUAGAUACCCCGGUAGUCCACGCUGUAAACGAUGACGACUA
RNAcentral lists this ribosomal RNA (786 nucleotides) under uncultured Bacillota bacterium. RNAcentral describes it as "bacterial SSU rRNA". It matches the Rfam family "Bacterial small subunit ribosomal RNA", at positions 56 to 818 of the family's 1533-position model. Lineage: Bacteria; Bacillati; Bacillota. The record is from RNAcentral.